CCUACGGGUGGCAGCAGUGAGGAAUAUUGGUCAAUGGACGUAAGUCUGAACCAGCCAAGUAGCGUGAAGGAUGACUGCCCUAUGGGUUGUAAACUUCUUUUAUACAGGAAUAAAACGCGUCACGUGUGCCUUUUUGCAUGUACUUUAUGAAUAAGGAUCGGCUAACUCCGUGCCAGCAGCCGCGGUAAUACGGAGGGUCCGAGCGUUAUCCGGAUUUAUUGGGUUUAAAGGGAGCGUAGACGGGAUGUUAAGUCAGUUGUGAAAGUUUGCGGCUCAACCGUAAAAUUGCAAUGGAGACUGGCAGGCUUGAGUACAGGUGAGGUAGGCGGAAUUCGUGGUGUAGCGGUGAAAUGCUUAGAUAUCACGAAGAACCCCGAUUGCGAAGGCAGCUUACUAAACUGUGACUGACACUGAUGCUCGAAAGUGUGGGUAUCAAACAGGAUUAGAUACCCGAGUAGUC
This 460-nucleotide ribosomal RNA is filed under the name uncultured bacterium. RNAcentral's name for it is "partial 16S ribosomal RNA". It matches the Rfam family "Bacterial small subunit ribosomal RNA", at positions 338 to 795 of the family's 1533-position model. The record is from RNAcentral.